Molecule: long non-coding RNA, 1192 nt
Organism: Dermacentor albipictus
Lineage: Eukaryota; Metazoa; Arthropoda; Arachnida; Ixodida; Ixodidae
Source: RefSeq, a predicted model, not a curated record
AAGCGGGAUUGGGGUGGAUACGUUGUUCUUUAUUCUAUGUGGAUACCUCUUUGCCAUCCGCUUGCAAAAAUCGGUGCAAUGAGUGCGAGAAGUCGCCUGAGAAAAAGUAACAUAUCAUGCCAAGAAAAAUGCGUAGGUGCUUAUUUUUGUCACGACAGUUUGAAGUUGCCGGUUCCUUGAUCUGGUUACUGUGGGUGAUCUCUGCCAGAGCACUUUGGACAACACUGCUCUGAGUGUCUACACCAGGAAGGCUCUGAAGAAUGGACAUGAUAAAGGCUGGGUCCUGGAAUAUGUCGUCGUAUUCAUCAUCACCAACUGCAUCCUGCACAGCAGUCAUUGAGGAUUCAUAUGUUGAAUGACACAGCUUGAGGCAGGGCAGGCUAGUGAUCUUGGUCUUGACUCAACCUAGCUCACCUGUUCUGGAACCUGCUUGGCCUCGUCUGUAUCCAUGGCAUCUUCAUCAACUUCAGCAGGCAGCAUGUCUGGCAGAACUGGCGGGACAAGCUCAGGCACUAAAAGAAUGUGAAACCAAUCAUGGUGUCAUGGUUUCUGGUGCAGCAUCUACUUUUCAAGUCUUCUUCUAGAUUUUUAUUGACCUCCUCUGUAGGGCAGAAGCAUGCAGAAGACUGCACAAAAUGUGGAAACCAACACACAUUGUUAUUGUGAUGGGCAAGCCAUUCUUGAACAUUUUGUGGGGACAUCUCCUACCAAUACCAGGUUUGUUUAAUCAAAAGCUCUGCACAGGACAGCAACCUUCCUGAACUUCCCGGUAACUAUGCUGUUGACAGGAGAGCAACCAGUCAACCUGCUAUAUUAAGGGAGACAGUGUCAGAAGUUGCCAGAGUAGCAUCCCUUGGUGAAUUGGCCAUCUCCUGCCUGACUUCGUAAUCCUGCCAUUGACGUUGCUCCUCCAUGGACACACGCAGCGCCUGAAAUGUAGAAUGACUGAGGCAACUGUGCACAGCAUGGAUGUACCCACCACUCCUAAGCCGCUGCGCUCCAAGCCGGAGGAUGACGUACAUGUGCUAGUGCGCCUACGUACGCAUGUUUGCGCUAUGACAUCACUCGUAGUGACACAUUACCUCGAGAAUUAGUCAAGGCAACAUCUCUUAUUUCUGUAAUCUGUUGAUUGAAUAGAUAAAUUAAAGUUUAGAGAAAUAAUAAAACACAAACCGAGUGUCUGCAUGUUUUU